GAUGAACGCUGACAGAAUGCUUAACACAUGCAAGUCAACUUGAACUUCGGUUUGGGUGGCGGACGGGUGAGUAACGCGUAAAGAACUUGCCUCACAGCUAGGGACAACAUUUGGAAACGAAUGCUAAUACCUGAUAUUAUGAUUAUAUGGCAUCGUAUAAUUAUGAAAGCUAUAUGCGCUGUGAGAGAGCUUUGCGUCCCAUUAGCUAGUUGGAGAGGUAACAGCUCACCGAGGCGAUGAUGGGUAGCCGGCCUGAGAGGGUGAUCGGCCACAAGGGGACUGAGACACGGCCCUUACUCCUACGGGAGGCAGCAGUGGGGAAUAUUGGACAAUGGACCGAGAGUCUGAUCCAGCAAUUCUGUGUGCACGAUGAAGUUUUUCGGAAUGUAAAGUGCUUUCAGUUGGGAAGAAAAAAAUGACGGUACCAACAGAAGAAGUGACGGCUAAAUACGUG
RNAcentral lists this ribosomal RNA (454 nucleotides) under uncultured bacterium. RNAcentral's name for it is "partial 16S ribosomal RNA". It matches the Rfam family "Bacterial small subunit ribosomal RNA", at positions 28 to 507 of the family's 1533-position model. The record is from RNAcentral.